This 253-nucleotide ribosomal RNA is filed under the name uncultured bacterium. Its description in RNAcentral is "partial 16S ribosomal RNA". It matches the Rfam family "Bacterial small subunit ribosomal RNA", at positions 524 to 776 of the family's 1533-position model. The record is from RNAcentral.
UACGUAGGGAGCAAGCGUUGUCCGGAAUUAUUGGGCGUAAAGCGCGCGUAGGCGGUUUAUCAAGUCAGAGGUGAAAUCCCGGAGCUUAACUCCGGAACUGCCUUUGAAACUGAUAGGCUAGAGUUUGGUAGGGGGAAGUGGAAUUCCUGGUGUAGCGGUGAAAUGCGCAGAUAUCAGGAGGAACACCCGUGGCGAAGGCGGCUUCCUGGACCAAUACUGACGCUGAGGUGCGAAAGCUAGAGGAGCAAACAGG